Molecule: non-coding RNA, 531 nt
Organism: Astrephomene gubernaculifera
Lineage: Eukaryota; Viridiplantae; Chlorophyta; Chlorophyceae; Chlamydomonadales; Astrephomenaceae
Source: the annotation of a GenBank genome assembly
ACGGACAAAAGCUACGCUAGGGAUAACAGCUUAACAUGCCCUUAGAGUUCCUAUCGAUGGGCAUACGAGAGACCUCGAUGUUGGAUCAUCGCGUCCUAUGGCUGAAGGAGGUCAUAAGGGUUGGAUUGUUCGUCCAUUAAAGCGGUACGUGAUCUGAGUUCAGAACGUCAAUUCAUUUCUUAGGCGUUUGCUUUAUGUAUUUAAAGCAUAGCAUCGGCUUAAUCGGCGAAACUAUCUAUGUAAGAACUGGACAUAGAUAACAACGCCGAGGAAUUGUUAAAUCAAACGGAAAAAUAUUAUAAUUUUAUAUAAACCGUUUGAUUUAAAUUCUGUAGAGACUGUGCAGUUUAGUUUCAUUGAGAGGGCAGCGCCCUCUCAACCAAUGCCUUCAUUCUAAACUGUUGAUAGUAUAUAAAUCAUAUACUAUAAUACGCCGACACUACCCAUUUGUAGUGAAGACAUAGUCCAUGCCUGCUAAUUGGAUUAAGCAGGGUUUAUGCGUAAGACAGUUCGGUUUCUAUCUUUGUUAGC